GAUGAACGCUGGCGGCGUGCUUAACACAUGCAAGUCGAACGGGGAAUCUUUCAUUGAGACUUCGGUGGAUUUGAUUUAUUUCUAGUGGCGGACGGGUGAGUAACGCGUGGGUAACCUGCCUUAUACAGGGGGAUAACAGUCAGAAAUGGCUGCUAAUACCGCAUAAGCGCACAGAGCUGCAUGGCUCAGUGUGAAAAACUCCGGUGGUAUAAGAUGGACCCGCGUUGGAUUAGCUAGUUGGUGGGGUAACGGCCCACCAAGGCGACGAUCCAUAGCCGGCCUGAGAGGGUGAACGGCCACAUUGGGACUGAGACACGGCCCAGACUCCUACGGGAGGCAGCAGUGGGGAAUAUUGCACAAUGGGGGAAACCCUGAUGCAGCGACGCCGCGUGAAGGAAGAAGUAUCUCGGUAUGUAAACUUCUAUCAGCAGGGAAGAUAGUGACGGUACCUGACUAAGAAGCCCCGGCUAACUACGUG
RNAcentral lists this ribosomal RNA (478 nucleotides) under uncultured bacterium. RNAcentral's name for it is "partial 16S ribosomal RNA". It matches the Rfam family "Bacterial small subunit ribosomal RNA", at positions 28 to 507 of the family's 1533-position model. The record is from RNAcentral.